GGAAUCUUGGACAAUGGGGGCAACACUGAUCCAGCCAUGCCGCGUGAGCGAUGAAGGCCUUAGGGUUGUAAAGCUCUUUCACCGGGGAAGAUAAUGACGGUACCCGGAGCAGAAGCCCCGGCUAACUCCGUGCCAGCAGCCGCGGUAAAACGGCGCGGGCUAGCGUUGUUCGGAAUUACUGGGCGUAAAGCGCACGUAGGCGGACAUUUAAGUCGGGGGUGAAAUCCCGGGGCUCAACCCCGGAACUGCCUUCGAUACUGGAUGUCUGGAGGUCGAGAGAGGCGAGUGGAAUUCCGAGUGUAGAGGUGAAAUUCGUAGAUAUUCGGAGGAACACCAGUGGCGAAGGCGGCUCGCUGGCUCGAUACUGACGCUGAGGUGCGAAAGCGUGGGGAGCAAA
Molecule: ribosomal RNA, 397 nt
Filed under: uncultured bacterium
Lineage: Bacteria
Description: bacterial SSU rRNA
Rfam family: Bacterial small subunit ribosomal RNA
Source: RNAcentral